This 35-nucleotide ribosomal RNA is filed under the name uncultured Tomentella. RNAcentral describes it as "partial 28S ribosomal RNA". Lineage: Eukaryota; Fungi; Basidiomycota; Agaricomycetes; Thelephorales; Thelephoraceae. The record is from RNAcentral.
GUUUGAUCUCAAAUCAGGUAGGACUACCCGCCUGA